Molecule: long non-coding RNA, 270 nt
Organism: Saccostrea cuccullata (small rock oyster)
Lineage: Eukaryota; Metazoa; Mollusca; Bivalvia; Ostreida; Ostreidae
Exons: 3
Source: RefSeq, a predicted model, not a curated record
AUGACGAUGACAGAUUAUUAUGUAAAUCGACCUUAUUUCCAAGAUGUAGAGCCCAACUGGCGUCCCUUGCCCUGUCAGUCAGUGGAAGAAUUAGUGCAGGCCCAGAAAUUCAUCAGCUGUUGGAUGUACGUGCUGUUACAGAAGAUUGGAUAAGUGAAAUUACGACCAGCGGAUCUAAUUCGUCUUAUCUGAAGAUUUCAUUUGACGUAAAGAGUCGUGACGUUAAAUGGUACGCAGUGGAAUUAUGGGAUAACAAGAACAAUCUCAUAA